UACGUAGGGUGCAAGCGUUGUCCGGAAUUAUUGGGCGUAAAGAGCUCGUAGGCGGUUUGUCGCGUCUGCUGUGAAGACUCGGGGCUUAACUCCGGGCCUGCAGUGGGUACGGGCAGACUAGAGUGCGGUAGGGGAGACUGGAAUUCCUGGUGUAGCGGUGAAAUGCGCAGAUAUCAGGAGGAACACCGGUGGCGAAGGCGGGUCUCUGGGCCGUAACUGACGCUGAGGAGCGAAAGCGUGGGGAGCGAACAGG
This 253-nucleotide ribosomal RNA is filed under the name uncultured bacterium. RNAcentral's name for it is "partial 16S ribosomal RNA". It matches the Rfam family "Bacterial small subunit ribosomal RNA", at positions 524 to 776 of the family's 1533-position model. The record is from RNAcentral.